This 103-nucleotide small nuclear RNA is filed under the name Peromyscus maniculatus bairdii (prairie deer mouse). Lineage: Eukaryota; Metazoa; Chordata; Mammalia; Rodentia; Cricetidae. The record is from RNAcentral.
UUGCUUCAACAGCACAUAUACUAAAACUGGAACGAUACAGAGUAGAUUAUCAUGGCCCUUGUGCAAGGAUGACAUGCAAAUCUAUAAAGUGUUCCAUAUUUUU